RNAcentral lists this ribosomal RNA (253 nucleotides) under uncultured bacterium. RNAcentral's name for it is "partial 16S ribosomal RNA". It matches the Rfam family "Bacterial small subunit ribosomal RNA", at positions 524 to 776 of the family's 1533-position model. The record is from RNAcentral.
UACGAAGGGGGCUAGCGUUGCUCGGAAUUACUGGGCGUAAAGCGCACGUAGGCGGCUUUCUAAGUCGGGGGUGAAAUCCUGGAGCUCAACUCCAGAACUGCCUUCGAUACUGGAGAGCUCGAGUCCGGGAGAGGUGAGUGGAACUGCGAGUGUAGAGGUGAAAUUCGUAGAUAUUCGGAAGAACACCAGUGGCGAAGGCGACACACUGGCCCAUUACUGACGCUGAGGCUCGAAAGCGUGGGGAGCAAACAGG